Molecule: transfer RNA, 65 nt
Filed under: Pseudocolaspis sp. EMHAU_15070625
Lineage: Eukaryota; Metazoa; Arthropoda; Insecta; Coleoptera; Chrysomelidae
Description: tRNA-Arg
Source: RNAcentral
AAUAAGAAACAAUAUAUUGUAUUUAGUUUCGGCCUAAAAGUUAGAUUUUAUUAAUCCUUAUUUGG